UCCCCUAGUAACUGCGAGUGAAGCGGGAAGAGCUCAAAUUUAAAAUCUGGCGGCUUCACCGUCCGAGUUGUAAUCUGAAGAAGCGUUUUCCGCGCCGGACCGUGUACAAGUCUCUUGGAACAGAGCUUCAUAGAGGGUGAGAGUCCCGUCCAUGACACGGACUGCCGGUGCUUUGUGAUACGCUCUCAAAGAGUCGAGUUGUUUGGGAAUGCAGCUCAAAAUGGGUGGUAAAUUCCAUCUAAAGCUAAAUAUUGGCGAGAGACCGAUAGCGAACAAGUACCGUGAGGGAAAGAUGAAAAGCACUUUGGAAAGAGAGUUAAACAGUACGUGAAAUUGUUGAAAGGGAAACGCUUGGAGUCAGUCGCGUUGUCCGGGACUCAGCCUCGCUUCUGCGUGGUGUACUUCCCGUUCUACGGGCCAACAUCGAUUUCGGACGGCGGAGAAAGGUUCGGGGAAUGUGGCACCGCUCGCGGUGUGUUAUAGCCCUGUUCCGCAUACGCCGACUGGGAUCGAGGAUCGCAGCGCGCCCUUGAGGCCGGGGCUUCGGCCCACGUCACGCGCUUAGGAUGUUGGCAUAAUGGCUUUAAGCGACCCGUCUUGAAACACGGACCAAGGAGUCUAACAUGCUCGCGAGUGUUAGGGUGGAAAACCCUUGCGCGUAAUGAAAGUGAAAGUUGGGACCCUCGUCGUGGGGGGCACCGACGCCCGGCCCUGAAGUUCUCUGACGGUGCUGCGGUGGAGCGCGUAUGUUGGGACCCGAAAGAUGGUGAACUAUGCCUGAAUAGGGCGAAGCCAGAGGAAACUCUGGUGGAGGCUCGUAGCGAUUCUGACGUGCAAAUCGAUCGUCAAAUUUGGG
This 856-nucleotide ribosomal RNA is filed under the name Tubulicrinis glebulosus. RNAcentral describes it as "partial large subunit ribosomal RNA". It matches the Rfam family "Eukaryotic large subunit ribosomal RNA", at positions 76 to 915 of the family's 3401-position model. The record is from RNAcentral. Lineage: Eukaryota; Fungi; Basidiomycota; Agaricomycetes; Hymenochaetales; Tubulicrinaceae.